RNAcentral lists this ribosomal RNA (253 nucleotides) under uncultured bacterium. RNAcentral describes it as "partial 16S ribosomal RNA". It matches the Rfam family "Bacterial small subunit ribosomal RNA", at positions 524 to 776 of the family's 1533-position model. The record is from RNAcentral.
UACGUAGGCAGCAAGCGUUGUUCGGAUUUACUGGGCGUAAAGGGUUUGUAGGUGGCUUGUUAAGUCAGACGUGAAAUCCCUCAGCUUAACUGGGGAACUGCGUCUGAUACUGAUGAGCUUGAGUGCAGGAGAGGAACGCGGAAUUCCAGGUGUAGCGGUGAAAUGCGUAGAUAUCUGGAGGAACACCGGUGGCGAAGGCGGCGUUCUGGACUGCAACUGACACUGAGAAACGAAAGCCAGGGGAGCAAACGGG